This 505-nucleotide ribosomal RNA is filed under the name uncultured bacterium. RNAcentral's name for it is "partial 16S ribosomal RNA". It matches the Rfam family "Bacterial small subunit ribosomal RNA", at positions 29 to 523 of the family's 1533-position model. The record is from RNAcentral.
AGUGAACGCUGGCGGUAGGCCUAACACAUGCAAGUCGAACGGCAGCACAGGAGAGCUUGCUCUCUGGGUGGCGAGUGGCGGACGGGUGAGGAAUACAUCGGAAUCUACUCUGUCGUGGGGGAUAACGUAGGGAAACUUACGCUAAUACCGCAUACGACCUACGGGUGAAAGCAGGGGAUCUUAGGACCUUGCGCGAUUGAAUGAGCCGAUGUCGGAUUAGCUAGUUGGCGGGGUAAAGGCCCACCAAGGCGACGAUACGUAGCUGGUCUGAGAGGAUGAUCAGCAACACUGGAACUGAGACACGGUCCAGACGCCUACGGGAGGAAGCAGUGGGGAAUAUUGGACAAUGGGCGCAAGCCUGAUCAGCCAUACCGCGUGGGUGAAGAAGGCCUUCGGGUUGUAAAGCCCUUUUGUUGGGAAAGAAAUCCAGCUGGCUAAUACCCGGUUGGGAUGACGGUACCCAAAGAAUAAGCACCGGCUAACUUCGUGCCAGCAGCCGCCGUAA